ACGUAUGGAGCAAGCGUUAUCCGGAUUUACUGGGUGUAAAGGGAGCGUAGGCGGUGCUGCAAGUCUGAUGUGAAAGGCCGGGGCUCAACCCCGGGACUGCAUUGGAAACUGUAGGACUAGAGUGUCGGAGGGGUAAGUGGAAUUCCUAGUGUAGCGGUGAAAUGCGUAGAUAUUAGGAGGAACACCAGUGGCGAAGGCGGCUUACUGGACGACUACUGACGCUGAGGCUCGAAAGCGUGGGGAGCAAACAG
RNAcentral lists this ribosomal RNA (251 nucleotides) under uncultured bacterium. RNAcentral describes it as "partial 16S ribosomal RNA". It matches the Rfam family "Bacterial small subunit ribosomal RNA", at positions 525 to 775 of the family's 1533-position model. The record is from RNAcentral.